GCAAGUCGAACGAGGAAUGGAGAGCUUGCUCUCUAUAACCGAUUGGCGAACGGGUGAGUAACACGUGAUCAACCUGUCUUCUGGCGGGGGGCAACCUGGGGAAACCCGGGCUAAUACCGCAUAAAGCCUUUCCUUCGCAUGGGGGGAAGGCCAAAGGGGGCCUCUGCUUGCAGGCUCUCACCGGAAGAGGGGAUCGCGGCGUAUCAGCUUGUUGGUGAGGUAGUGGCUCACCAAGGCUACGACGCGUAGCGGGUCUGAGAGGACGAUC
Molecule: ribosomal RNA, 268 nt
Filed under: uncultured bacterium
Lineage: Bacteria
Description: partial 16S ribosomal RNA
Rfam family: Bacterial small subunit ribosomal RNA
Source: RNAcentral